RNAcentral lists this unclassified non-coding RNA (233 nucleotides) under uncultured fungus. Its description in RNAcentral is "sequence contains ITS1, 5.8S rRNA gene". The stretch from base 185 to 233 matches the Rfam family "5.8S ribosomal RNA", at positions 1 to 49 of the family's 154-position model. Lineage: Eukaryota; Fungi. The record is from RNAcentral.
UCUCCGUAGGUGAACCUGCGGAGGGAUCAUUACCGAGUGAGGGCCUCCGGGUCCGACCUCCAACCCCUUUGUUGUACCGACCCUGUUGCCUCGGGGGCGACCCGGCCCUCCUGGGCGUCGGGGCCCCCGGUGGUCCAUCUCAACCCUGCAUCUGUGCGUCUGAGUAAAUAUUUGAAUCAAUCAAAACUUUCAACAACGGAUCUCUUGGCUCUCGCAUCGAUGAAGAACGCAGC